GAUGAACGCUGGCGGCGUGCCUAAUACAUGCAAGUCGAGCGAACAGAUGAGGAGCUUGCUCCUCUGACGUUAGCGGCGGACGGGGGAGUAACACGUGGAUAACCUACCUAUAAGACUGGGAUAAAUUCGGGAAACCGGAGCUAAUACCGGAUAAUAUAUUGAACCGCAUGGUUCAAUAGUGAAAGACGGUUUUGCUGUCACUUAUAGAUGGAUCCGCGCCGCAUUAGCUAGUUGGUAAGGUAACGGCUUACCAAGGCAACGAUGCGUAGCCGACCUGAGAGGGUGAUCGGCCACACUGGAACUGAGACACGGUCCAGACUCCUACGGGAGGCAGCAGUAGGGAAUCUUCCGCAAUGGGCGAAAGCCUGACGGAGCAACGCCGCGUGAGUGAUGAAGGUCUUCGGAUCGUAAAACUCUGUUAUUAGGGAAGAACAAAUGUGUAAGUAACUAUGCACGUCUUGACGGUACCUAAUCAGAAAGCCACGGCUAACUACGUG
Molecule: ribosomal RNA, 497 nt
Filed under: uncultured bacterium
Lineage: Bacteria
Description: partial 16S ribosomal RNA
Rfam family: Bacterial small subunit ribosomal RNA
Source: RNAcentral